Molecule: ribosomal RNA, 668 nt
Filed under: alpha proteobacterium IMCC15304
Lineage: Bacteria; Pseudomonadati; Pseudomonadota; Alphaproteobacteria
Description: bacterial SSU rRNA
Rfam family: Bacterial small subunit ribosomal RNA
Source: RNAcentral
AACGACCGCUGCGGCACGCCUAACACAUGCAAGUCGAGCGCUACCUUCGGGUGGAGCGGCGGACGGGUUAGUAACGCGUGGGAACAUACCCAACUCUACGGAAUAGCCUCGGGAAACUGAGAGUAAUACCGUAUACGCCCUUCGGGGGAAAGAUUUAUCGGAGAUGGAUUGGCCCGCGUUAGAUUAGAUAGUUGGUGGGGUAAUGGCCUACCAAGUCUACGAUCUAUAGCUGGUUUGAGAGGAUGAUCAGCAACACUGGGACUGAGACACGGCCCAGACUCCUACGGGAGGCAGCAGUGGGGAAUCUUAGACAAUGGGCGAAAGCCUGAUCUAGCGAUGCCGCGUGAGUGACGAAGGCCUUAGGGUCGUAAAGCUCUUUCGCCAGGGAUGAUAAUGACAGUACCUGGUAAAGAAACCCCGGCUAACUCCGUGCCAGCAGCCGCGGUAAUACGGAGGGGGUUAGCGUUGUUCGGAAUUACUGGGCGUAAAGCGCACGUAGGCGGAUUAGAAAGCUAGAGGUGAAAUCCCAGGGCUCAACCCUGGAACUGCCUUUAGAACUACUAGUCUAGAGUUCGAGAGAGGUGAGUGGAAUUCCAAGUGUAGAGGUGAAAUUCGUAGAUAUUUGGAGGAACACCAGUGGCGAAGGCGGCUCACUGGCUCGAUACUGA